This 268-nucleotide unclassified non-coding RNA is filed under the name Hevea brasiliensis (rubber tree). Lineage: Eukaryota; Viridiplantae; Streptophyta; Magnoliopsida; Malpighiales; Euphorbiaceae. The record is from RNAcentral.
GGGCUAAGCGGAACGAAAAGGGUUUUCCAUGAGAUGGUAAAUGAAAACGAUUAGCCCCAUACGAGGUUUGGGAAUAAGUGAUGAGCAAGGAAUAUACGUCUUUCUGCUAAAGAGGAUCUAUUAAACUCAUAAUUCAUUAGAUCCUUGUUAUCAAUGUCAACUAGGUAUCAUAAGUAAACGGAUCCCGGUUGUUCAAUCCUUUGAUAACCAAGGUCAUUCUUUGCUAAAGAGAAAUGAUCACUAUGAGUCAGACUCAAUAGAAUUGGAU